UACGUAGGUGGCAAGCGUUGUCCGGAUUUACUGGGCGUAAAGAGCGCGCAGGCGGUCGUUCAAGUCGCGUGUGAAAGCCCCCGGCUCAACUGGGGAGGGUCACGCGAUACUGAUCGACUCGAAGGCAGGAGAGGGAAGUGGAAUUCCCGGUGUAGUGGUGAAAUGCGCAGAUAUCAGGAGGAACACCGGUGGCGAAGGCGGAUCUCUGGGCCUUACCUGACGCUCAGGUGCGAAAGCUAGGGGAGCGAACAGG
This 253-nucleotide ribosomal RNA is filed under the name uncultured bacterium. Its description in RNAcentral is "partial 16S ribosomal RNA". It matches the Rfam family "Bacterial small subunit ribosomal RNA", at positions 524 to 776 of the family's 1533-position model. The record is from RNAcentral.